AGAUUAAGCUACGAAGGGCGUACGGAGGAUGCCUAGGCACUAAGCGCCGAAGAAGGACGCGGCAAGCU
Molecule: ribosomal RNA, 68 nt
Filed under: Clostridiales bacterium
Lineage: Bacteria; Bacillati; Bacillota; Clostridia; Eubacteriales
Description: partial 23S ribosomal RNA
Source: RNAcentral